This 537-nucleotide ribosomal RNA is filed under the name Cochlostoma porroi porroi. RNAcentral describes it as "partial 16S ribosomal RNA". It matches the Rfam family "Bacterial large subunit ribosomal RNA", at positions 1819 to 2619 of the family's 2925-position model. Lineage: Eukaryota; Metazoa; Mollusca; Gastropoda; Architaenioglossa; Cochlostomatidae. The record is from RNAcentral.
GUCUCUUUGAUUACUAAAUAUAAAGAGUUUGACCUGCCCACUGAUAAUGAUUUAACGGCCGCAGUAUCCUAACUGUGCAAAGGUAGCAUAAUAAUUUGCCUUAUAAUUAAUGGCUAGUAUGAACGGUUUGACGAAAGCGUUCCUGUCUCAAAUAUAUUUUUCAUAAUUUAUCUUUUAAGUUAAAAGACUUAAAUAAAACUAAAGGACGAGAAGACCCUAUCGAGCUUUAAAAAAAUUCUUUAAGAAAAUGUAUUAUUAAAAUCUAUUUUUCAAAAAUAUUUUUUGGUUGGGGCGACCUAGGAACAAAUAAAGCUUCCUUAAGCAAACUAAGUAGAUAUAUGCAAAUGAUCCGAUACGUUAAUGUUGAUAAAUGAAAUUAGUUACCGUAGGGAUAACAGCGUUAUUUUUUCUAAGAGAUCUUAUUAAAGAAAAAGUUUGCGACCUCGAUGUUGGAUUGAGAUAGCUCAAAGGUGCAGAAGCUUUUAUAAGUUAGUCUGUUCGACUAUAAAAAUCUCACAUGAUCUGAGUUCAGACCGG